This 104-nucleotide small RNA is filed under the name Escherichia coli. Lineage: Bacteria; Pseudomonadati; Pseudomonadota; Gammaproteobacteria; Enterobacterales; Enterobacteriaceae. The record is from RNAcentral. RNAcentral also lists the same sequence under 1 other name.
GGCAAGGCAACUAAGCCUGCAUUAAUGCCAACUUUUAGCGCACGGCUCUCUCCCAAGAGCCAUUUCCCUGGACCGAAUACAGGAAUCGUGUUCGGUCUCUUUUU